GUUGAGUUACACCAUGGUUAAACUUGGUUAAACCGUUUGGUUUUCGACCACUAGGACCCGGGUUCGAUUCCCGCAUUGGACA
Molecule: non-coding RNA, 82 nt
Organism: Cordylochernes scorpioides
Lineage: Eukaryota; Metazoa; Arthropoda; Arachnida; Pseudoscorpiones; Chernetidae
Source: the annotation of a GenBank genome assembly